RNAcentral lists this ribosomal RNA (491 nucleotides) under uncultured bacterium. RNAcentral's name for it is "partial 16S ribosomal RNA". It matches the Rfam family "Bacterial small subunit ribosomal RNA", at positions 29 to 506 of the family's 1533-position model. The record is from RNAcentral.
AGUGAACGCUGGCGGUAGGCCUAACACAUGCAAGUCGAACGGCAGCACAGUAAGAGCUUGCUCUUACGGGUGGCGAGUGGCGGACGGGUGAGGAAUACAUCGGAAUCUACUUUUUCGUGGGGGAUAACGUAGGGAAACUUACGCUAAUACCGCAUACGACCUACGGGUGAAAGCAGGGGAUCUUCGGACCUUGCGCGAUUGAAUGAGCCGAUGUCGGAUUAGCUAGUUGGCGGGGUAAAGGCCCACCAAGGCGACGAUCCGUAGCUGGUCUGAGAGGAUGAUCAGCCACACUGGAACUGAGACACGGUCCAGACUCCUACGGGAGGCAGCAGUGGGGAAUAUUGGACAAUGGGCGCAAGCCUGAUCCAGCCAUACCGCGUGGGUGAAGAAGGCCUUCGGGUUGUAAAGCCCUUUUGUUGGGAAAGAAAAGCAGCAGGUUAAUACCCCGCUGUUCUGAAGGUACCCAAAGAAUAAGCACCGGCGAACUUCGU